This 400-nucleotide ribosomal RNA is filed under the name uncultured Desulfobacterium sp. RNAcentral describes it as "bacterial SSU rRNA". It matches the Rfam family "Bacterial small subunit ribosomal RNA", at positions 1112 to 1501 of the family's 1533-position model. The record is from RNAcentral. Lineage: Bacteria; Pseudomonadati; Thermodesulfobacteriota; Desulfobacteria; Desulfobacterales; Desulfobacteriaceae.
UAUUUGCCAUCAUUGAGUUGGGCACUCUAAAGGAACCGCCUCGGUCAACGGGGAGGAAGGUGGGGAUGACGUCAAGUCCUCAUGGCCUUUAUGCCCAGGGCUACACACGUGCUACAAUGGCCAGUACAAAGGGCUGCAAAUCCGCGAGGGUAAGCAAAUCCCAAAAACCUGGUCUCAGUUCGGAUUGGAGUCUGCAACUCGACUCCAUGAAGUCGGAAUCGCUAGUAAUCGCAGAUCAGCGUGCUGCGGUGAAUACGUUCCCGGGCCUUGUACACACCGCCCGUCACACCACGAAAGUCGAUUAUACCAGAAGUCGCUGGUUUAACCCCCGAUUUACCUCGGGGGAGAUAAGCGCCUAAGGUAUGGUUGGUAAUUGGGGUGAAGUCGUAACAAGGUAACC